RNAcentral lists this ribosomal RNA (265 nucleotides) under uncultured archaeon. RNAcentral describes it as "partial 16S ribosomal RNA". It matches the Rfam family "Archaeal small subunit ribosomal RNA", at positions 717 to 982 of the family's 1478-position model. The record is from RNAcentral.
ACACGACUACAUUAGAUACCCCCGUAGUCCUAGCCGUAAACGAUACUCGCUAGGUGUCGGCCACGGUGCGACCGUUGUCGGUGCCGUAGGGAAGCCGUGAAGCGAGCCACCUGGGAAGUACGGCCGCAAGGCUGAAACUUAAAGGAAUUGGCGGGGGAGCACAACAACGGGUGGAGCUUGCGGUUUAAUUGGAUUCAACGCCGGAAAUCUUACCGGGACCGACAGCAACAUGAAGGCCAAGCUGAAGACUUUGCCGGAUUAGCUG